GCUUACGGCCAUACCACCUUGGAAAUGUCCGAUCUCAUCUGAACUCGGAAGUAAAGCAGGGUUGGGCCUGGUUAGUACUUGGAUGGGAGACCGCCUGGGAAUACCAGGUGCUAUAAGCU
Non-coding RNA from Danio rerio (zebrafish), 119 nucleotides. The record is from Rfam. NCBI's taxonomy places the organism in Eukaryota, Metazoa, Chordata, Actinopteri, Cypriniformes, Danionidae.